RNAcentral lists this long non-coding RNA (212 nucleotides) under Chinchilla lanigera (long-tailed chinchilla). Its description in RNAcentral is "lncRNA (ENSCLAG00000024838.1)". The record is from RNAcentral. Lineage: Eukaryota; Metazoa; Chordata; Mammalia; Rodentia; Chinchillidae.
AUUUAACACUGCAUUUGGCACUUUUGACAUUGCUUAAAAGUGAACAUGAAGCAUUCCCUGUGCAUAAUUUUUGAAGAUCAAUAACAAGAGUGCUGCAUUGCCGACAUUCCCCUGUCCUGUGAAGGUUCAUCAGCUUCUAAGUCUUGAGUUAUUGGCUACUCCCUCUCCUGUGAGGUCCCCAGGCAAGUAAUAAAUUUGUAUGUCUCUUCUCC